This 165-nucleotide ribosomal RNA is filed under the name Triticum aestivum (bread wheat). Its description in RNAcentral is "partial small subunit ribosomal RNA". Lineage: Eukaryota; Viridiplantae; Streptophyta; Magnoliopsida; Poales; Poaceae. The record is from RNAcentral.
GUCCUUGUCAAAUGGCAUCUGUGGAAGCACAGGAACGCCUGUACUUUCGACAACGCGCGCCCCUCCGCUACUCAUCUUAUCCAAACUAUUCUGGAGGAAACCAGAACCUGCGCUUUGGCUGGUGCCAAGGGAUUGGCAGCUAUCAACCCGUACGAUCCACCAUAG